Zea mays is the source of this 522-nucleotide long non-coding RNA. RefSeq lists it as uncharacterized. The transcript has a single exon. Lineage: Eukaryota; Viridiplantae; Streptophyta; Magnoliopsida; Poales; Poaceae. The record is from RefSeq and is marked validated.
CCACCGCAGAGGACCUGCGCUCGCCGCUAUCAUUCGUUUCUGGACACCCUUCUAGCCCCGCCGCCACCACACCACCACCACCAAUGGCAGGAAUCGGAUCAAAGGCCCUCGCCGUGGUCGCCGUCCUGGCGGCCGUCGUCCUCUCGGUGGCCUCCGCGGCCGAGGCGCCCGCGCCCAGCCCCGUUUCCGCCGCCGCCGGCGCGUCGGCGCCGUUCGCCGCGGCCCUCGUCGCCUCCUCCGCCGCCUUCCUCUUCGCCGCCGUCCGCCACUGAGCCGAUGGGGCCCUUCCACCGCCGCCUAGGUCUAUUUAUUGGAGUGGUAUUCAGUAGUACUGGUACUAGGGAGAUUUCUUUGUUGGUGUCGUGUCGUCGUCGCAUUUUGGUCGGAUCUGGUGUCCUUGGUGGGUGGGGAGGGUUUGUACCGCGUCGUGGUGUCGGUUGUGUGAUCUGAUUCUGAUCCCCUUGUAGAUACUCUGCUAUCUCGCCGUGAUCGUGAGUGAUGAUUCCGUCUGGUUGCUACUGA